AAAUCACAUAUUACCAAUGAAUAGACAUCUAAUCUCGUGUGCUACCUGAGGGGCAAGUUUCUUGCUAACACCACAAGAGUCUCUGGUCCAAUGAGUGGAGUUUGAUAGCAAUCCUUGUUACAAGA
This 125-nucleotide small nucleolar RNA is filed under the name Carlito syrichta (Philippine tarsier). Lineage: Eukaryota; Metazoa; Chordata; Mammalia; Primates; Tarsiidae. The record is from RNAcentral.